UGAGGAAUAUUGGUCAAUGGACGCAAGUCUGAACCAGCCAUGCCGCGUAAAGGAAGACGGCCCUACGGGUUGUAAACUUCUUUUGUACGGGAAAAAACCACCGGUCGUGAACCGGUACUGAUGGUACCGUAAGAAUAGGCAUCGGGUAACUCCGUGCCAGCAGCCGCGGUAAUACGGAGGAUGAAAGCGUUAUCCGGAUGCAUUGGGUUUAAAGGGUGCGCAGGCGGAAUGAUAAGUCAGUGGUGAAAUCCUACGGCUCAACCGGGAAACUGCCAUUGAUACUGUCGUUCUUGAGUACAGUUGAAGUGGGAGGAAUGUGUCAUGUAGCUGUGAAACGCUUAGAUAUGACACAGAACACCGAUAGUGAAGACAGCUCACUAAGCUGUAACUGACGCUCAUGCACGAAAGCGUGGGGAUCAAACA
This 423-nucleotide ribosomal RNA is filed under the name uncultured prokaryote. Its description in RNAcentral is "bacterial SSU rRNA". It matches the Rfam family "Bacterial small subunit ribosomal RNA", at positions 355 to 774 of the family's 1533-position model. The record is from RNAcentral.